AACGCGAAGAACCUUACCUACUCUUGACAUCCCGCGAACUUGGUAGAGAUACCUUGGUGCCUUCGGGAACGCAGAGACAGGUGCUGCAUGGCUGUCGUCAGCUCGUGUUGUGAAAUGGUGGGUUAAGUCCCGUAACGAGCGCAACCCUUGUCCUUAGUUGCCAUCAUUUAGUUGGGGACUCUAAGGAGACUGCCGGUGACAAACCGGAGGAAGGCGGGGACGACGUCAAGUCAUCAUGGCCCUUACGAGUAGGGCUACACACGUACUACAAUGGCAAGUACAGAGGGCCGCGAAGCCGCGAGGUGGAGCUAAUCUCACAAAGCUUGUCGUAGUCCGGAUUGGAGUCUGCAACUCGACUCCAUGAAGUCGGAAUCGCUAGUAAUCGCAAAUCAGAAUGUUGCGGUGAAUACGUUCCCGGGUCUGUACACACCG
RNAcentral lists this ribosomal RNA (432 nucleotides) under uncultured bacterium. RNAcentral describes it as "bacterial SSU rRNA". It matches the Rfam family "Bacterial small subunit ribosomal RNA", at positions 958 to 1392 of the family's 1533-position model. The record is from RNAcentral.